CUCUUUUUAAAUGGUUUUAUUUAUUUUAGAGAGCAUGCACAUGUGCACAAGUGAGUAGGGAAAGGGGCUGAGAGAGAGGGAAAGGGAGAGAAUCCCAAGCAGACCCCAUGCUGAGUUCAGAGCCCAACUUGGAGCUCAAUCUCAGGACCCUGAAAUCAUGACCUGAGCCAAAACCAAGUUAGACACUCAACCGAGUAAGCCACCAUGCACCCCUAGAAACCUCUUUUUAUGCAAGUGGCUUGCAUCUUGAUGAUAAUAUACAUCUCAGGAUGGAUUUGGAAAUUUGAGAUUAUUUAAGUUUUCUCAUUAUAUGAUAAUCUCUAGAAAAUAUAAGUAAUAUAUUUUUAUUUGAUGAGUGAGCCUACUAUUCUUUAAACAACAUAAUAUUAUCAAUGAGCAGUUUAGCCUACAAAGACGUUUGACAUAGAAAGGCACUUUCUCUGUUAAUUUUUCUGUCAGCAGCAUUAUAAGAGGAAGAUAUGAACUACUUCAUGAUCUCAAUAAAUUAUGCUUGAAUUAAAGACUGGCUGACAUGUGGACUGAGUGCAGAGGGAGGCCUAUGAAGUGGGGAGUAUGGAGGACUGGACCAACCCGUGGCUACUGCCCUUGGCUGUGUGAGCCCCUGGAAGAGGCCAGGCUAAUGCCGACAUUUGGUGAAGAUGAAGAAAGAUACAUUACCCAAAUUAUAAUGGAGCAACGUCUGCUGGCAGAUGAGGAUGGUUAUUUAUUUGUUUAUUUCAACAAAUCAAAUUUUCACAAGAUGUCUGAACACAUGAGACAACAUUGUGUGAUCACAAUUUAAUUUCAUAUGAUGAUGCAGACAAACUCAUGGAAUUACCAGGGUCUAGCGGCAGAAGUGAGUACGAUAAUAUGCUUUCCAGUGCUUACUUACAUUCACAGCUGCCUGAGAGGCUUACAUUUAGGGAAUAGGCAAGUUUGUGAAAACGUGGCCUAAUUUGAAUUGUGUAUAAGUGAAUACUUUUAAAAGUGGUUAGAGGUGAAAGAUUUUAGAACUUUGCUUUACUUUGGAGCAGUGCCCUGUGCUAAUCAAAUCAUGA
Molecule: long non-coding RNA, 1058 nt
Filed under: Vulpes vulpes (red fox)
Lineage: Eukaryota; Metazoa; Chordata; Mammalia; Carnivora; Canidae
Description: lncRNA (ENSVVUG00000004289.1)
Source: RNAcentral